Molecule: unclassified non-coding RNA, 189 nt
Filed under: uncultured Ascomycota
Lineage: Eukaryota; Fungi; Ascomycota
Description: sequence contains ITS2
Source: RNAcentral
CAACCCUCAAGCCCCCGGGCUUGGCGUUGGGGAUCGGCACAAGGCGGAGGGGCACCCCUAGGGGAGCCCCCCCGGCCCGCCGUCCCCCAAAUUCAGUGGCGGUCACGUCGCGGCCUCCUAUGCGUAGUAGCAACACCUCGCACUGGAAGCCCCUCGCGUCCACGCCGUAAAACCCCCGACUUUUUAUCA